GAUACCCUAUUAUUUUAAGUGUGGGUUUUGCCUUGAUUAUUAUUAGUUAAGUUCUUUAAAAUUAAAAAAUUUGGCGGUAUUUUAGUCUGUUCAGAGGAACCUGUCUCUGGAUCGAUAGUCCACGAUAAUUUGUACUUUUGUUUUUAAUUUAUAUAUCGUCGUUUUUAAAAAUCUUUGGAGAGAUUUAAUUUUUGGGAUUUUUAAUGAAAAGGUAUUUCAGAUCAAGGUGUAGUUUAUAUGAAAGUUGGGAUGGGUUACAUUAAUGUUAUUUUUGGUUCUUUGGUUUUAAAUCUUGGAUAAAUUGGAUUUGAUAGUAAAAUUUUUAUUUAUGAUUUUUGAUUUAGCUCUAAAAUAUGCACACAUCGCC
RNAcentral lists this ribosomal RNA (367 nucleotides) under Scaurus atratus. RNAcentral describes it as "partial 12S ribosomal RNA". Lineage: Eukaryota; Metazoa; Arthropoda; Insecta; Coleoptera; Tenebrionidae. The record is from RNAcentral.